Molecule: ribosomal RNA, 497 nt
Filed under: uncultured bacterium
Lineage: Bacteria
Description: partial 16S ribosomal RNA
Rfam family: Bacterial small subunit ribosomal RNA
Source: RNAcentral
GAUGAACGCUGGCGGCGUGCCUAAUACAUGCAAGUCGAGCGAACAGACGAGGAGCUUGCUCCUCUGACGUUAGCGGCGGACGGGUGAGUAACACGUGGAUAACCUACCUAUAAGACUGGGAUAACUUCGGGAAACCGGAGCUAAUACCGGAUAAUAUAUUGAACCGCAUGGUUCAAUAGUGAAAGACGGUUUUGCUGUCACUUAUAGAUGGAUCCGCGCCGCAUUAGCUAGUUGGUAAGGUAACGGCUUACCAAGGCGACGAUGCGUAGGCGACCUGAGAGGGUGAUCGGCCACACUGGAACUGAGACACGGUCCAGACUCCUACGGGAGGCAGCAGUAGGGAAUCUUACGCAAUGGGCGAAAGCCUGACGGAGCAACGCCGCGUGAGUGAUGAAGGUCUUCGGAUCGUAAAACUCUGUUAUUAGGGAAGAACAAAUGUGUAAGUAACUAUGCACGUCUUGACGGUACCUAAUCAGAAAGCCACGGCUAACUACGUG